This 263-nucleotide unclassified non-coding RNA is filed under the name plant metagenome. RNAcentral's name for it is "partial contains small subunit ribosomal RNA, internal transcribed spacer 1, and 5.8S ribosomal RNA". The record is from RNAcentral.
UUUCCGUAGGUGAACCUGCGGAAGGAUCAUUAUUGUAUAACCGAGGUGCGAGGGCCGUCGCUGACCCGAAAGGUCGUGCACGCCCGAGUGCCCUCACACACAUCCAUCUCACCCCUAUGUGCACCACCGCGUGGGUCCCCCUUUGGCUUGUUCGGAGGGGGGCUUACGUUUUCACACAAACUUUGUAUGCAGUGUAGAAUGUAUUUUUUGUUUUUGCGAUCACGCAAUCAAUACAACUUUCAACAACGGAUCUCUUGGCUCUC